UUUUUUAAUUGAAAACUUGUAUGAAAGGUUGAAUGAAAUAUAUACUGUUUUUUAUUAAUAAUUAAAAUUUUAUUUUUUAGUUAAAAAGCUAAAAUAAAAUUAAAAGACGAGAAGACCCUAUAAAGUUUUAUAUUUUUAAUUAAUGAUUUUAUUUAAGUAUUUUAAAAAAUAUUAAUUAAAAGUAUUUUAUUGGGGUGAUAAUAAAAUUUAUAUAACUUUUAUUUUUAUUUACAUAGAUAAAUGAGUUUAUGAUCCAGUAGUAUUGAUUAAUAAUUUAAAUUACUUUAGGGAUAACAGCGUA
This 301-nucleotide ribosomal RNA is filed under the name unidentified. Its description in RNAcentral is "Tergostylus sp. NB-2020 partial 16S ribosomal RNA". The record is from RNAcentral.